RNAcentral lists this ribosomal RNA (204 nucleotides) under uncultured bacterium. RNAcentral describes it as "partial 16S ribosomal RNA". It matches the Rfam family "Bacterial small subunit ribosomal RNA", at positions 568 to 774 of the family's 1533-position model. The record is from RNAcentral.
CGCGUAGGCGGGCUUUCAAGUCGGUUGUGAAAUCCCUCAGCUCAACUGAGGAACUGCAUCCGAUACUGUUUGUCUUGAGGACGAGAGGGAGAGUGGAACUUCUGGUGGAGCGGUGAAAUGCGUAGAUAUCAGAAGGAACGCCGGUGGCGAAAGCGACUCUCUGGCUCGUAUCUGACGCUGAGGCGCGAAGCUUGGUAGCAAACG